RNAcentral lists this transfer RNA (73 nucleotides) under Loxodonta africana (African savanna elephant). It matches the Rfam family "tRNA". From Rfam's summary of the family: Transfer RNA (tRNA) molecules are approximately 80 nucleotides in length. Their secondary structure includes four short double-helical elements and three loops (D, anti-codon, and T loops). Lineage: Eukaryota; Metazoa; Chordata; Mammalia; Proboscidea; Elephantidae. The record is from Rfam by way of RNAcentral.
GUUUUUGUAGUGUAGUGGUUAUCACGUUGGCCUCAUACGCGAAAUGUGUCUGGUUGGAAACCAGGUGGAAGCA